Molecule: ribosomal RNA, 253 nt
Filed under: uncultured bacterium
Lineage: Bacteria
Description: partial 16S ribosomal RNA
Rfam family: Bacterial small subunit ribosomal RNA
Source: RNAcentral
UACGGGGGGGGCAAGCGUUGUUCGGAAUUACUGGGCGUAAAGCGUGUGUAGGCGGGCCCCUAAGUACCUUGUGAAAUCCCACGGCUCACCCGUGGAACCGCUGGGUAUACUGGGGGCCUCGGGCCACUCAGGGGCGACUGGAACAAGCGGUGGAGCGGUGAAAUGCGUAGAUAUCGCUUGGAACGCCGACGGUGAAAACAGGUCGCUGGGAGUGCGCCGACGCUGAGACACGAAAGCCAGGGGAGCAAACGGG